RNAcentral lists this ribosomal RNA (252 nucleotides) under uncultured Gardnerella sp. RNAcentral describes it as "partial 16S ribosomal RNA". It matches the Rfam family "Bacterial small subunit ribosomal RNA", at positions 99 to 347 of the family's 1533-position model. The record is from RNAcentral. Lineage: Bacteria; Bacillati; Actinomycetota; Actinomycetes; Bifidobacteriales; Bifidobacteriaceae.
CGAACGGGUGAGUAAUGCGUGACCAACCUGCCCCAUGCUCCAGAAUAGCUCUUGGAAACGGGUGGUAAUGCUGGAUGCUCCAACUUGACGCAUGUCUUGUUGGGAAAGUGUUUAGUGGCAUGGGAUGGGGUCGCGUCCUAUCAGCUUGUAGGCGGGGUAAUGGCCCACCUAGGCUUCGACGGGUAGCCGGCCUGAGAGGGCGGACGGCCACAUUGGGACUGAGAUACGGCCCAGACUCCUACGGGAGCAGCG